CUAAUGGCUAGUUCCUUCUCAGUCUUCUUAGCUACCUUCUUAGCAAAUGCCAUCUUGUUAAAAGAGUAUGGUACUGGUAUAAAGCCAGACCUUGCUGCUGCCGGGUUCUCUUCAAUGUGUCACUCCUGUAGAUUUCUUCGCACAGAUCUAUGGAUAUGGUUUAAGAAUUUCGUCCCAUACCUGUGCUUGUACCCAAUGUCACAGAUAUAGUUAACCUCCUGCUUUAGGUCCCUCUGUUCAGUGGUAUAAAUCUCUGUCCUUUUGAAAAAAGAUCUAAAUGUAGCUUUUGUAAAUGUUAGACGAUCAUCCAACCAACUAGGUAUUAGAAUAGGCUCAUACGAAGGUUUUCUAUACAUCACAGUUAUUAUUUCAUCAUUUUUAUGUCUUAUGCAGAUAUCAAGGAAAUACACUUC
RNAcentral lists this long non-coding RNA (413 nucleotides) under Androctonus crassicauda. The record is from RNAcentral. Lineage: Eukaryota; Metazoa; Arthropoda; Arachnida; Scorpiones; Buthidae.